Long non-coding RNA from Pipistrellus kuhlii (Kuhl's pipistrelle), 320 nucleotides. RefSeq lists it as uncharacterized. The record is from RefSeq and is a predicted model, not a curated record. The transcript has 3 exons. Lineage: Eukaryota; Metazoa; Chordata; Mammalia; Chiroptera; Vespertilionidae.
UAAUAUUGUGAUAACUAUGUAUGUGGCCAGUUGGGUACUGGAUAUAUCAGGGGGGACACUUUGUAAAGUAUAUGCUUCUUUACCCACAAUGCUGUGCACCUGAAAUUAAUACAAAAUGAUAUUGAAUAUUUAUAAAACUGUAAGUGCAAACACCUGUCCACACAAAAACUUGACCUGAAUGUUUAUAGCAAAUUAUUUAUAACUAGAGGCCUGGUGCAUGGAUCCUUUGGCCUGGCCUGUGGGGAUUGGGCUGAAACUAGUUCUCUGACAACCCCCGAGGUGUCCCGGAUUGUGAGGGUGGUUCUCAUGUGACACACCCU